This 228-nucleotide unclassified non-coding RNA is filed under the name Hevea brasiliensis (rubber tree). Lineage: Eukaryota; Viridiplantae; Streptophyta; Magnoliopsida; Malpighiales; Euphorbiaceae. The record is from RNAcentral.
CUCAGUAGCAAGUAUUUCACCAAAAAGAUACCUCGACUCAUAAACAGACCGACCAAAUACUUCUGAAUUGGGCAAAGCAAAGUAAAUAUGCUCAAAUAUACAUUGCUUUGGUUCAGGAUGGGGUAUUAGGCAAAGCGAUUGAAUCCCUUCUUUAUCCACCACCAAAACCUCCCCAGGAUUAACCUCUCUCUCAUACGUAGCUUCAAUCAAAUCAAGAGCACAAGUCUC